RNAcentral lists this ribosomal RNA (253 nucleotides) under uncultured bacterium. RNAcentral's name for it is "partial 16S ribosomal RNA". It matches the Rfam family "Bacterial small subunit ribosomal RNA", at positions 524 to 776 of the family's 1533-position model. The record is from RNAcentral.
UACGUAGGGUGCAAGCGUUAAUCGGAAUUACUGGGCGUAAAGCGUGCGCAGGCGGUUUUGUAAGUCUGUCGUGAAAUCCCCGGGCUCAACCUGGGAAUUGCGAUGGAGACUGCAAGGCUAGAAUCUGGCAGAGGGGGGUGGAAUUCCACGUGUAGCAGUGAAAUGCGUAGAGAUGUGGAGGAACACCGAUGGCGAAGGCAGCCCCCUGGGCUGAGAUUGACGCUCAGGCACGAAAGCGUGGGGAGCAAACAGG